GAUGAACGCUGGCGGCGUGCCUAAUACAUGCAAGUCGAGCGAACAGACGAGGAGCUUGCUCCUCUGACGUUAGCGGCGGACGGGUGAGUAACACGUGGAUAACCUACCUAUAAGACUGGGAUAACUUCGGGAAACCGGAGCUAAUACCGGAUAAUAUAUUGAACCGCAUGGUUCAAUAGUGAAAGACGGUUUUGCUGUCACGUAUAGAUGGAUCCGCGCCGCAUUAGCUGGUUGGUAAGGUAACGGCUUACCAAGGCAACGAUGCGUAGCCGACCUGAGAGGGUGGUCGGCCACACUGGAACUGGGACACGGUCCAGACUCCUACGGGAGGCAGCAGUAGGGAAUCUUCCGCAAUAGGCGAAAGCCUGACGGAGCAACGCCGCGUGAGUGAUGAAGGUCUUCGGAUCGUAAAACUCUGUUAUUAGGGAAGAACAAAUGUGUAAGUAACUAUGCACGUCUUGACGGUACCUAAUCGGAAAGCCACGGCUAACUACGUG
Molecule: ribosomal RNA, 497 nt
Filed under: uncultured bacterium
Lineage: Bacteria
Description: partial 16S ribosomal RNA
Rfam family: Bacterial small subunit ribosomal RNA
Source: RNAcentral